RNAcentral lists this ribosomal RNA (253 nucleotides) under uncultured bacterium. RNAcentral describes it as "partial 16S ribosomal RNA". It matches the Rfam family "Bacterial small subunit ribosomal RNA", at positions 524 to 776 of the family's 1533-position model. The record is from RNAcentral.
UACGUAGGGUGCAAGCGUUGUCCGGAAUUAUUGGGCGUAAAGAGCUCGUAGGCGGUUUGUCGCGUCGAAUGUGAAAACCCGGGGCUCAACCCCGGGCCUGCAUUCGAUACGGGCAGACUAGAGUUCGGUAGGGGAGUCUGGAAUUCCUGGUGUAGCGGUGAAAUGCGCAGAUAUCAGGAGGAACACCGGUGGCGAAGGCGGCUAUCUGGCCCGUAAUUGACGCUGAGGCGCGAAAGCGUGGGGAGCAAACAGG